AGUGAACGCUGGCGGUAGGCCUAACACAUGCAAGUCGAACGGCAGCACAGUAAGAGCUUGCUCUUACGGGUGGCGAGUGGCGGACGGGUGAGGAAUACAUCGGAAUCUACUUUUUCGUGGGGGAUAACGUAGGGAAACUUACACUAAUACCGCAUACGACCUACGGGUGAAAGCAGGGGAUCCUCUGACCUUGCGCGAUUGAAUGAGCCGAUGUCGGAUUAGCUAGUUGGGGGGGUAAAGGCCCACCAAGGGGACGAUCCGUAGCUGGUCUGAGAGGAUGAUCAGCCACACUGGAACUGAGACACGGUCCAGACUCCUACGGGAGGCAGCAGUGGGGAAUAUUGGACAAUGGGCGCAAGCCUGAUCCAGCCAUACCGCGUGGGUGAAGAAGGCCUUCGGGUUGUAAAGCCCUUUUGUUGGGAAAGAAAAGCAGCAGGUUAAUACCCCGCUGUUCUGACGGUACCCAAAGAAUAAGCACCGGCUAACUUCGUG
This 492-nucleotide ribosomal RNA is filed under the name uncultured bacterium. RNAcentral's name for it is "partial 16S ribosomal RNA". It matches the Rfam family "Bacterial small subunit ribosomal RNA", at positions 29 to 507 of the family's 1533-position model. The record is from RNAcentral.